This 442-nucleotide ribosomal RNA is filed under the name uncultured bacterium. Its description in RNAcentral is "partial 16S ribosomal RNA". It matches the Rfam family "Bacterial small subunit ribosomal RNA", at positions 338 to 795 of the family's 1533-position model. The record is from RNAcentral.
CCUACGGGAGGCAGCAGUGGGGGAUAUUGCACAAUGGGGGGAACCCUGAUGCAGCGACGCCGCGUGAGGGAAGAAGGCUUUCGGGUUGUAAACUUCUUUCGUCAGGGAAGAGUAGAAGACGGUACCUGACGAAUAAGCCACGGCCAACUACGUGCCAGCAGCCGCGGUAAUACGUAGGUGGCAAGCGUUGUCCGGAUGUACUGGGUGUAAAGGGCGGGUAGCCGGGUUGACAAGUCAGAUGUGAAAUCCUGCGGCUUAACCGCAGAACUGCAUUUGAAACUGUUGAUCUUGAGUACUGGAGAGGCAGACGGAAUUCCUAGUGUAGCGGUGAAAUGCGUAGAUAGUAGGAGGAACACCAGUGGCGAAGGCGGUCUGCUGGACAGCAACUGACGGUGAGGCGCGAAAGCGUGGGGAGCAAACAGGAUUAGAUACCCGAGUAGUC